AACGAACGCUGGCGGCGUGCCUAACACAUGCAAGUCGUGCGAGAAAGUUCCUUCGGGAGCGAGUAAAGCGGCGCACGGGUGAGUAACACGUAGGUAACCUGCCCCCCAGUCUGGAACAACUAGAGGAAACUCUAGCUAAUGCCGGAUGAGACCACGAUCCCUUCGGGGGUUGCGGCCAAAGAUGGCCUCUACUUGUAAGCUAUCGCUGAGGGAUGGGCCUGCGGGCCAUUAGCUUGUUGGUGAGGUAACGGCUCACCAAGGCUGUGAUGGCUAGCUGGUCUGAGAGGAUGACCAGCCACACUGGGACUGAGACACGGCCCAGGACUCCUACGGGAGGCAGCAGUGGGGAAUAUGCGCAAUGGGCGAAAGCCUGACGCAGCGACGCCGCGUGGGUGAUG
Molecule: ribosomal RNA, 398 nt
Filed under: uncultured bacterium
Lineage: Bacteria
Description: bacterial SSU rRNA
Rfam family: Bacterial small subunit ribosomal RNA
Source: RNAcentral